Molecule: ribosomal RNA, 411 nt
Filed under: Physarum album
Lineage: Eukaryota; Evosea; Eumycetozoa; Physariida; Physaraceae
Description: SSU rRNA
Rfam family: Eukaryotic small subunit ribosomal RNA
Source: RNAcentral
AUUCUCUGAAUCUGCGAACGGCUCCGCAUACCAGUUGUAAACCAUAGCGAGCAAACCCAGGGGAGGCAUCUCUUUACGGGGUGACUACCCUGGGUUGCACAUGGAUAUCCAUGGUAAUCCUGAGGCUAAUACAAGGACAUAGGACCUGGUCGACCGGGCAACUGGAAGACUGGGGGUUGUGUGAAGCCUAACCGCGACACAUGAUCAGGAAUUAAUGCACAAUCAGACCACCAUACCAAACAGGUGAUCCUUUGGCCCACGCCCCCUUGGGGGUAGGGUCCGGGGUGAUCUUGGGUGGCUCUCGCUUCGUGCUUCUGACCUAUCAACUAGAUGGCAGCGUAAAGGACAUGCCAUGGUAACAACGGGUACAGAGGAUAAGGGUUCGAUCCUGGAGAGUGGGCCUGAGAGAUU